GGAUUGUGGCUCAGUGGUGGAGUGCUUGCCUAGCAAGUGUGAAGCCCUGGGUUCAAUCCUCAGUACCA
Molecule: transfer RNA, 68 nt
Filed under: Marmota monax (woodchuck)
Lineage: Eukaryota; Metazoa; Chordata; Mammalia; Rodentia; Sciuridae
Description: tRNA.Ala
Source: RNAcentral